This 69-nucleotide transfer RNA is filed under the name Bemisia tabaci. RNAcentral describes it as "tRNA-Ala". The record is from RNAcentral. RNAcentral also lists the same sequence under 1 other name. Lineage: Eukaryota; Metazoa; Arthropoda; Insecta; Hemiptera; Aleyrodidae.
AGGAUAAGAGUUUGACAAAAUAUAUAAAUUGCAAUUAUAAGAUGAACGCUUCAGCUAGUUCUUAUCUCA